UACGUAGGUCCCGAGCGUUGUCCGGAUUUAUUGGGCGUAAAGCGAGCGCAGGUGGUUUAUUAAGUCUGGUGUAAAAGGCAGUGGCUCAACCAUUGUAUGCAUUGGAAACUGGUAGACUUGAGUGCAGGAGAGGAGAGUGGAAUUCCAUGUGUAGCAGUGAAAUGCGUAGAUAUUCGGAGGAACACCAGUGGCGAAGGCGGCUUGCUGGGCUCUAACUGACGCUGAGGCUCGAAAGUGUGGGGAGCAAACAGG
This 252-nucleotide ribosomal RNA is filed under the name uncultured bacterium. RNAcentral's name for it is "partial 16S ribosomal RNA". It matches the Rfam family "Bacterial small subunit ribosomal RNA", at positions 524 to 776 of the family's 1533-position model. The record is from RNAcentral.